Molecule: ribosomal RNA, 488 nt
Filed under: uncultured bacterium
Lineage: Bacteria
Description: bacterial SSU rRNA
Rfam family: Bacterial small subunit ribosomal RNA
Source: RNAcentral
AACGAACGUUGGCGGCGUGGAUUAGGCAUGCAAGUCGAACGAAUCCCAGGGGGGUAACUCUCUGGGGGAAGUGGCGAAAGGGGCAGUAAUGCGUGGGUAACCUACCCCGGGGAUCGGGAUAGCCUUCCUAACGGAAGGGUAAUACCGGGCGAUCCAGCGAGGACACCUGUCUUUGCUGGGAAAUGAAUUUCGCCUCGGGAGGGGCUCACGUGCUAUUAGCUAGUUGGUGAGGUGACGGCUCACCAAGGCGAAGAUGGCUAGCAGGUGUGAGAGCACGACCUGCGCCACUGGCACUGUGACACUGGCCAGACUCCUACGGGAGGCUGCAGUCGAGGAUCUUCGGCAAUGGGCGCAAGCCUGACCGAGCGACGCCGCGUGUGCGAUGAAGGCCUUCGGGUUGUAAAGCACUGUCGAGGGGGAGGAAAGCCGCAAGGCCUGACCUAUCCCUGGAGGAAGCACGGGCUAAGUUCGUGCCAGCAGCCGCCGAA